This is an RNA transcript of Seriola dumerili (greater amberjack), 2381 nucleotides long. It is a transcript of the gene named cytidine monophosphate N-acetylneuraminic acid synthetase, with no coding region annotated. Lineage: Eukaryota; Metazoa; Chordata; Actinopteri; Carangiformes; Carangidae. The transcript has 10 exons. The record is from RefSeq and is a predicted model, not a curated record.
AAUAGACCCGCUGCUCUGGUCCUCAGCCUGGCCGUUACAGUGACACUUCGACCGAGCGGACGUGAGGAAGUCUCACCGGCCUGACUUGGCGUCUUCUUUCACCUUUUGGUUAAAAGGCUUUUUUUUUUUGACAGCGAUAUGAUCUCCAGGAAAAGAGGCCUCCCGGCCGAUAACGGGGAGCAGGACGGACCGCUGGUCGCCCCCAAGCAGCAGCAGAUCCGGGCGGAGGGCAAGAGACACGCCGCUGCUGUGAUCCUGGCGAGGGGAGGAAGUAAAGGGAUCCCCCUGAAAAACAUCAAAAUGUUAGCCGGGGUGCCCCUCAUCGGCUGGGUGCUGAGGGCUGCUGUGGACUCCGACAUGUUCGACAGUGUGUGGGUAUCGACGGACCACGACGAGAUAGAGAAGGUGGCAAAAUCCUGGGGCGCCAAGGUGCAUCGCAGGAGUGCUGAAGUCUCCAGAGACUCUUCUUCAUCACUGGAAACCAUCCAAGAGUUUGCCAGGCUCAACCCAGAGGUGGAUGUGAUAUGCCACAUUCAGGCUACGUCCCCGUGUCUACAUCCGCACCACGUGAAGGAGGCGCUGGAGAUGAUCACGCUGCAGGGCUUUGAUUCGGUGUUCUCUGUGGUCCGGAGACACCAGUUCCGCUGGAAGGAGAUCAAGAAGGGAUCUGAUGAAAUGACCAAGCCGUUCAACCUGGACACAGCCAACCGGCCACGGCGCCAGGACUGGGACGGCGAGCUGUGUGAGAAUGGCUCCUUUUAUUUCGCCACCAGAGAUCUCCUCAUGAACAAAGGUCUUAUGCAGGGUGGAAAGAUCGGCUACUAUGAGAUGCUGCCGGAGUACAGCGUGGACAUAGACGUGGACAUCGACUGGCCUGUGGCAGAGCAGAGGGUUCUCAGGUACGGUUACUUCGGUCGGGUCACGCCGGAGGUGGUUCAGCUGAUGUUCUGCAACGUUUCCGGAUGUUUAACAGAAGGAAGGAUCUUUCUGUCGGUGUCCGGGGAGGAUAUGGUGUCUGUUAACACCAGAGACGCCAUGGGCAUCCGGAUGCUGAAGGGGGAAGAAGUGGAGGUCGUGCUGUUGACGUCCAGAGAGGACCCUGUGACCAAGUCGUUGGCGGAGAAACUGGCCAAGAGGAUGGGCUGCGAAGUCAUGGAGGUGGGAGAGGAACCGCUGAACGAUUUGAAGCUGGUAGUGGAGAAGAAGAAGCUGGAGUGGAAGGAUGUGGCGUACAUGGGUAACGAUAAACCCGAUGUGAAGUGUCUGAACCUGGCGGGUUUGAGCGCAGUACCUGGAGAUGCCCCAACGGUCGCCAUCAACGCCGCAAAAUACACCUGCCACAAAGUCGGGGGACUGGGGGCCGUCAGGGAGUUUGCCGAGCACAUUCUCCUUCAGAAACAAAAAGCAAAGGCUCAGAUGAAGCAGGACCGCAUCGACAACAGCAGCUUCUGACUCAACUUCAACUCCACAUUGAAAGGUUUACGUGGGGACAGCACACGCAGAGGAAACGUUCUUUUAGACAGUCAGACAUACGACUGCCACUGCACACAUGACCCGAGGCUCUAUCUGAAUCUGUAAUCAACAUGAGGGCAUAUUCAUGUUUCUGACAGAUAUGAUGUUUACAUUUUUAAACACAUCGCUAAGCAUAUGUGUGCUAGAGGUCAUGAUGUUAAAACCAAAAUGGCAGCAGUUAAAGCUUCCUAACAAAAUGACUUGUAUACCAAUGUGCUAAAAGGAGGUGUGUGUUCUGUCAAUGUGCUGAUUUACAGGGUGUAUAUCUGGUGGUUACGAGAGAAGGGGAGGACAGAAGGAUGAUGAAGCAUUCAGAAAUGAACAAUGGUAGUCCUCAGAUAUUUUACUUAUGAAAAAGUAUCAGUGCAAAAAUGUAUAAAUAAAGCAUUAGAAGGAAAAGUCCUAUAUUCAAAAUACUAUUUAAGUAAAAAUACAGAAGUACUUUUUUGCACUUGUUCUGCAAAAUAAGAAAAUAAAAGUCACCUGCGAGUUAUAUAUUAUCAUAAAUUACAACGUUCAUUCUGAUGUAUUUUAUUAGUAGAAACAAACAUUUUGAGUUUGGGUUUGUGUGUUAUUAGAUGGAGGCAUCUGCUGAUUCAUUUAGAGACAAGAGCAGUGAACCUUCCUGUGUUUCUCCACAGACAUAACAACUCCUCCCCCUGGUGUUCAAACAGUAGAACUACAGCAGAGAGCUUUGGGAGGAAAAUAACUGGUACACUGAAAGACAAACCUCUUUUACAUGAAAUAAACUUUCAGAUACGUUGCAAAUACAAAAUUUACUAAAAUAAUAUUAAUAACAGUAGUCAUCUCAAGAAAAUCACCUUCAAUGCUCUACUUUCAUGCCCGCAAUCAUGCUCUAAAAUAAAAGC